GUAUAACAAGUAGGAGGUGGUGAGAUAAAGCAGGUUACGUGCAAUACCGGUAUAACAGGUAGGAGGCGGUGAGAUGAAGCUGGUUACGUGCAAUACAGGUAUAACAGGUAGGAGGCGGUGAGAUAAAGCUGGUUACGUGCGAUACAGGUAUGACAGGUAGGAGGCGGUGAGAAAAAGCAGGUUAAGUGUGAUACAGGUAUAACAGGUUGGAGGCGGUGAGAUGAAGCUAGUUACGUGCGAUACAGAUGUAGAAGGCAGUCAGAUAAAGCGGGUUAUGUGCGAUACAGGUAUAACAGGUAGGAGGCGGUGAGAUAAAGCUGGUUACGUGCAAUACCGGUAUAACAGGUAGGAGGCGGUGAGAUGAAGCUGGUUACGUGCAAUACAGGCAUAACAGGUAGGAGGCGGUGAGAUAAAGCAGGUUAAGUGUGAUACAGGUAUAACAGGUAGGAGGCGGUGAGAUAAAGCUGGUUACGUGCGAUACAGGUAUGACAGGUAGGAGGCGGUGAGAUAAAGCAGGUUAAGUGUGAUACAGGUAUAACAGGUAGGAGGCGGUGAGAUGAAGCUAGUUACGGCUUAUACAGGUAUGACAGGUAGGAGGCGGUGAGAUAAAGCAGGUUAAGUGUGAUACAGGUAUAACAGGUAGGAGGCGGUGAGAUGAAGCUAGUUACGUGCGAUACAGAUGUAGAAGGCAGUCAGAUAAAGCUGGUUACGUGCGAUACAGGUAUAACAGGUAGGAGGCGGUGAGAUAAAGCUAGUUACGUGCGAUACAGGUAUGACAGGUAGGAGGCGGUGAGAUAAAGCUGGUUACGUGCGAUACAGGUAUGACAGGUAGGAGGCGGUGAGAUAAAGCUGGUUACGUGCGAUACAGGCAUAACAGGUAGGAGGCGGUGAGAUGAAGCUAGUUACGUGCGAUACAGAUAUAACAAGUAGAAGGCAGUCAGAUAAAUCAGGUUACAUGACAAGUAGGAGGUGGUGAGAUGAAGCAGGUUACAUGUGAUACAGUUAUAACAGGUAGAAGGCGGUGAGAUGAAGCUGGUUACAUGUGAUACAGUUAUAACAGGUAGAAGGCGGUGAGAUGAAGCUGGUCAUGUGCAAUACAGGUAUAACAGGUAGGAGGCGCUGAGAUGAAGCUGGUUACGUGCGAUACAGGUAUAACAGGUAGGAGGCGGUGAGAUAAAGCAGGUUACGUGCAAUACCGGUAUAACAGGUAGGAGGCGGUGAGAUGAAGCUGGUUACGUGCAAUACAGGCAUAACAGGUAGGAGGCGGUGAGAUAAAGUUGGUUACGUGAGAUGCAGGUAUAACAGGUAGGAGGCGGUGAGAUAAAGCUGGUUACGUGCGAUACAGGUAUGACAGGUAGGAGGCGGUGAGAUGAAGCUAGUUAUGUGCGAUACAGAUGUAGAAGGCAGUCAGAUAAAGCUGGUUACGUGCGAUACAGGUAUAACAGGUAGGAGGCGGUGAGAUAAAGCUGGUUACGUGCG
RNAcentral lists this long non-coding RNA (1479 nucleotides) under Pelobates cultripes (western spadefoot toad). The record is from RNAcentral. Lineage: Eukaryota; Metazoa; Chordata; Amphibia; Anura; Pelobatidae.